CAUGUUGCCAAUGGGGUAUUUAUAGGCAAAUGAGGGUGCUCAACCGACCUUAACUCGUGGUUGGUGUUUUUCCACGUGUCUGGCCCUGUUUGGGCGGUUUGGGAGCAAUCUGGGACGUUCUGGAAUUUUCUGGCAGAUUCUGGCAAUGAACCUCGUUUUGGCGUGCUACGGGCCCGUGCGCCCCGCGCCCGCCUGCGCCUCUCUGCCCGCGCCUGGCAGCUUCCAGCAGCGCCUGGAGAAUCCUCGAAGCUUCUGGAAUUCUCGCGCGUCUUUCAGCCCGCGUGAACCUCGUUUCCCCGCGCGGCCAACCAGCAUCGUCCCGUGCGUGCGGCCAACCAGCGUGCUCCUUCUGCGCGCGCGGCCCACCAGCGCGCCCCAUCUGCGCGCUCAGCCCUCCAGCCUCGCGCGGCCUGCCAGCGUGCCCGCUGAACCUCAUCUGCGUCUGGACAUCUCCGGAUGCCCCUGGAACCUUCUCGAAUGUUCCAGCCCCAUUGAACCUCCUUCCAUCUGGCGACGCCUCCUGGCUUCCAGCACCUUCCCCCGUGCUGGGCUGGCCCAAUUGCACCCCGUCGGGCCUGCCACUCGCCAGACUGCCUCCAUUGCCUUCGCCAGCCCGUCUGGCCUGCUGGGCUCCACGCCUGGCCCAGUCUCCAAGUGAACCUCGCUUGCUAGCCCUCCUGGCCCGCAAGUCUGCCUGUUUUCCCCAACAGUGCCAGUCACCUCUGGCACCCACGGGCCCGUUCAACCUGUCUGCUGGCCAAUCUGCCCCAGUUGGCAUUUUCUCCCUGCAACCAGCAGCACAAGCCCGUUGAACCUCAUUUGGGCUGCCACACAGGCCCAAAUGCAGAAUUGGCUCCAACAACCCGUAAAGCCAAUUUUCCUUCCAAUUUUGGGGGUCAUUGGUCCUAUCACCUUUGGACCGUGACAAG
Molecule: long non-coding RNA, 929 nt
Filed under: Manihot esculenta (cassava)
Lineage: Eukaryota; Viridiplantae; Streptophyta; Magnoliopsida; Malpighiales; Euphorbiaceae
Description: long non-coding RNA (MESC_LNC005736)
Source: RNAcentral